CCUACGGGAGGCUGCAGUGAGGAAUAUUGGUCAAUGGACGAGAGUCUGAACCAGCCAAGUCGCGUGAAGGAUGACUGCCCUAUGGGUUGUAAACUUCUUUUAUAUGGGAAUAAAAUGUUCCACGUGUGGGAUUUUGUAUGUACCAUAUGAAUAAGGAUCGGCUAACUCCGUGCCAGCAGCCGCGGUAAUACGGAGGAUCCGAGCGUUAUCCGGAUUUAUUGGGUUUAAAGGGAGCGUAGGUGGAUUGUUAAGUCAGUUGUGAAAGUUUGCGGCUCAACCGUAAAAUUGCAGUUGAAACUGGCAGUCGUGAGUGCAGGAGAGGUGGGCGGAAUGCGUGGUGUAGCGGUGAAAUGCUUAGAUAUCACGAAGAACUCCGAUUGCGAAGGCAGCUCACUGGACUGCAACUGACACUGAGGCUCGAAAGUGUGGGUAUCAAACAGGAUUAGAUACCCGAGUAGUC
This 460-nucleotide ribosomal RNA is filed under the name uncultured bacterium. RNAcentral's name for it is "partial 16S ribosomal RNA". It matches the Rfam family "Bacterial small subunit ribosomal RNA", at positions 338 to 795 of the family's 1533-position model. The record is from RNAcentral.